This 2395-nucleotide long non-coding RNA is filed under the name Malus domestica (apple). Its description in RNAcentral is "long non-coding RNA (MDOM_LNC018030)". Lineage: Eukaryota; Viridiplantae; Streptophyta; Magnoliopsida; Rosales; Rosaceae. The record is from RNAcentral.
AUAUCAUGGUUACCCAAUAUAAUCAGAAGAGGUGGAGAACCUAUUCAGUUUAGGAUUACAAAUGCAAUACGGUCUUUCUCUAAUACAAUACUCUUGACCACAUUGUUUGGUUUGAUAGUUUAUUUAUUCAUGUCCACUAUCCAAUGUGAUUCGUGUGCUUAUAUGAUUACCUUGAAUGUGAUUUGGAACGACUUCCUAAAUCUCAUUCAUACUCUGGCCAGAGAUUCCAAAUCAUAUCAUAGAGUAUUCUCCCUCAAACGGUUUGAAGGUUAGAGAUCCCUUGUUGCACAUUCACUUGUCUCCAUGGCUAAGUGGCUUAACCCCAACGAUGCCGUGGACACCCUCCAAAUAGAGUGACUUUGACAUAAUCAAAGAUCAAGGACUUAACCACAAGACAACUGUGAUGCCUCAGGUCAAAUGACUACUUUGCAUUAUCCCAACCAUGAGUUCUCAUGUGACAUGAAUAUGAGAACUCUUCGUUGAUCGUGUUCAGUGAACUCAUUCUCUAUUGAGCACCUACGUACUUGUCUUGAUGUCACACACACCAAUGACUCGAGACUAGUCACUCUCCCUGAGAGAAGAUACAGCACGUACUGAUCUUAACGGACUGUCAAUGCCCAAUUGGCAAUCCUAUGAUCAUGAACGUUUAGGAUGUGUCUACGAAAGAAUGGUCUCAUGAAUCUAACUUCUUUAGAUCGUAUUCUCCCAAUCACAUAUUCCUUGGACUUAUCGUUUAAGCAUAUAACAUUUAUAUGAGACGGCUUAAACAAUAAUAUUUGCCCUUUAUAUUUAAACUAGAUUAGUUUAACAUGUGAAAUGUCCGUAAAGUAUCAUCAUAUGAUUGGCUUUAGGGCACAUUUCCAACAUAAAUUAGUUUCUCUGAGAAGAGUAAGUGUUUAAGGCUUUUUAGGGUUGUCAAAGUUUACCGAAAUUUGAUAGAAUAUGGGGUAUAUAUAGGGGAGUGGCCGGCCAUGGUGUUAGGGUUUUACCCUACACAUGGCGACAUCUUAUUGGCCAAGGUUUUAUGGAGAAAUAGUCUCAAGAUAUUAAAUAGGAAAUAAUAUCUUGAGAUAAUGGAAUAAUUAUUCCUAAUUGAUUUAAAUAGAGAUUACUUACUUGAAUUGAGUUAAUCUUCAUUUGGGAAUGUAUUAAAGAUAGGAUUGGGAGUAUCGGAGAAGCCUACCCAUUUAAUUAGGGCAAUCUUGUCUUUCUUGGGCAAAAGUCCAUGUGUCGCCUCCAGAAUUUAGACUUCACAAAUGCCCCCACACCUGCUAGCGGUUGUCGCACCUUUGUACAUACUCCUUGGCGUCUUGAUGCAUGGUUGGUCAAUAGUAGCCUUCUUUAAGAGCCUUUUGCGCCAGAGGGCGGCCUCCUGAGUGGUUUCCACAGACAUCUUCAUGGAUUGAGCUAAGAAUCUUCAGGUUGUCGAGAGGUGUGAUAGGAGCAUAUUUAUGCGACUGAGUUAGCUUGUUCUCAUGCAUUUAUGUUGUUAUUUCUUAGUUAAUUAUGUAUUUUAAACUAUUUUUGUGUGUUUGUAGGUCCAUAGGCCUUAUGAAGCAAUAAGAUGCAUUUUGGUGCAUUUUGGAGCAGUUUUAGGCUUGGAAUGAAUAGCACAUGCAUGGAGCAAGGUGGAUGGACGAAAUUGAAAACUAAAGAGGUUAGGAAUGUAUUAAAGAAAAAGAAGAAUUAAUGUAAAAAGGACAAAGAGCUCAGCCACAAAGGGGUGUCACUCCACCAUUCACCUUUCCAUCAUUGUCGUGCACCACCAUUGCACUCCCUUUGGAUUCCUAUGUCAUGCAUCAUCAUCCAUAUUCCCUCCAUUGACUCAUUUGUUGCAUCAUUCCACCUCUCUUUCCUUUCUCUACCAUGUGCACAAUCAUUCAUGUUCCCUAGCUGCAACACCACUCCAUUUUACCCCCAUGCUUUGCAUCAUCACUUCACUUUCACCUUUGAAUCAUUUCAAACACCAAUCAUUGCACUCAAUUGCUACACCAUUCCUUGUUCCCUCCAUCAUUUCAGAUUUUAUGCAUCAUUACAUUGAAUCAUUGCACUCCAUUGCUACACCAUUCCUUGUUCCCUCCAUCAUUUCAUAUUUCAUGCAUCAUUGCACUCAAUUGCUACACCACUCCAUGUUCCCCUCCAUUGCCAUGCACUUCCUCUAUAAAAGGAAGUGUGUGUAACAUAAGCUUAGUUCAUACUUGGUUAGGUCAUUCACUCCAAUUUCAACACAACCUUCAUCCAAACACAUCCAUUCCUACAUACAAACAAACCUUCAAACACUCACCAACACCUUGUGUCGUAGCAAAGGAAGGGAAGGAAAGUGUUGGACGUGCUUGCUGUCCAACUUGGAUCGUUGGAGCAUUUAGGUGUUUUCUUUCUUUUGUUUCUAAUGUUU